RNAcentral lists this ribosomal RNA (406 nucleotides) under uncultured bacterium. Its description in RNAcentral is "partial 16S ribosomal RNA". It matches the Rfam family "Bacterial small subunit ribosomal RNA", at positions 28 to 526 of the family's 1533-position model. The record is from RNAcentral.
GACGAACGCUGGCGGCGCGCUUAACACAUGCAAGUCGAGCGAAGCGGCGGACGGGUGAGUAACACGUGAGUAACCUGCCUUUGACAUUGGGAUAGCCUCGGGAAACCGGGAUUAAUACCAAAUGGUCUAAGAUGGACUCGCGUCCCAUUAGCUAGUUGGUGAGGUAACGGCCCACAAAGGCGACGAUGGGUAGCCGGCCUUGGCGCGUGAACGGCCACAUUGGAGCUGGGAAACGGUCCAAACUCUACGGGAGGCAGCAGGGGGGAAUAUUGCACAAUGGAUGGAACUCUGAUGCAGCGACGCCGCGUGAACGAAGAAGGCUUUCGAGUCGUAAAGUGCUUUUAUAUGGGAAGCGGUACCAUAAGAAAAGCCCCGGCUAACUACGUGCCAGCCGCCGCGGUAAUUC